GCAGCAGCCGCGGGAAUACGGAGGGAGCUAGCGUUGUUCGGAAUUACUGGGCGUAAAGCGCGCGUAGGCGGUUACUCAAGUCAGAGGUGAAAGCCCGGGGCUCAACCCCGGAACUGCCUUUGAAACUAGGUGACUAGAAUCUUGGAGAGGUCAGUGGAAUUCCGAGUGUAGAGGUGAAAUUCGUAGAUAUUCGGAAGAACACCAGUGGCGAAGGCGACUGACUGGACAAGUAUUGACGCUGAGGUGCGAAAGCGUGGGGAGCAAACAGGAUUAGAUACCCCGGUAGUCCCUGUCUCUUAUAC
RNAcentral lists this ribosomal RNA (302 nucleotides) under uncultured bacterium. Its description in RNAcentral is "partial 16S ribosomal RNA". It matches the Rfam family "Bacterial small subunit ribosomal RNA", at positions 508 to 807 of the family's 1533-position model. The record is from RNAcentral.